RNAcentral lists this small nuclear RNA (107 nucleotides) under Neogale vison (American mink). The record is from RNAcentral. Lineage: Eukaryota; Metazoa; Chordata; Mammalia; Carnivora; Mustelidae.
CUGCUCGCUUUGGCAACACAUAUACUAAAAUUGGAAUGGUACAGAGAAGAUUAGCAUGGCCCCUGCACAAGGAUGACACAUGAAUCUGUGAAGUGUUCCAUAUAAAA